This 253-nucleotide ribosomal RNA is filed under the name uncultured bacterium. RNAcentral describes it as "partial 16S ribosomal RNA". It matches the Rfam family "Bacterial small subunit ribosomal RNA", at positions 524 to 776 of the family's 1533-position model. The record is from RNAcentral.
UACAGAGGGUGCUAGCGUUGUUCGGAAUCCUUGGGCGUAAAGGGCGUGUAGGCGGUUUGUUAAGUCAUGUGUGAAAUCCCUCGGCUCAACCGGGGAACGACGCAUGAAACUGGCAAGCUAGAGUACCAAAGAGGGGGGUGGAAUUCCCGGUGUAGAGGUGAAAUUCGUAGAUAUUGGGAAGAACACCGGUGGCGAAGGCGGCGACCUGGUCCGAUACUGACGCUGAGGCGCGAAAGCGUGGGGAGCAAACGGG